This 373-nucleotide ribosomal RNA is filed under the name uncultured organism. RNAcentral describes it as "partial 16S ribosomal RNA". It matches the Rfam family "Bacterial small subunit ribosomal RNA", at positions 525 to 896 of the family's 1533-position model. The record is from RNAcentral.
GGGAGGGGUGCAAGCGUUGUUCGGAAUUAUUGGGCGUAAAGAGCGUGUAGGCGGUCCGGUAAGUCAGAUGUGAAAGCCCUGGGCUCAACCCGGGAAGUGCAUUUGAAACUACCAGACUUGAGUACGGGAGAGGAGGGGGGAAUUCCCGGUGUAGAGGUGAAAUUCGUAGAUAUCGGGAGGAAUACCAGUGGCGAAGGCGCCCCUCUGGACCGAUACUGACGCUGAGACGCGAAAGCGUGGGGAGCAAACAGGAUUAGAUACCCUGGUAGUCCACGCCGUAAACGAUGAGCACUAGGUGUAGCGGGUAUUGACCCCUGCUGUGCCGUAGCUAACGCAUUAAGUGCUCCGCCUGGGGACUACGGUCGCAAGACUA